Non-coding RNA from Carica papaya (papaya), 2649 nucleotides. NCBI's taxonomy places the organism in Eukaryota, Viridiplantae, Streptophyta, Magnoliopsida, Brassicales, Caricaceae. The record is from RefSeq and is a predicted model, not a curated record.
GUAAAAACAAGUUACUUUCAAUGCCAAUGCCACUCUCUGCGCCUUACCUCCGUCCCCGCUUCUUCUUCUUCGUCCUCUCCCUAAAACACAUCACCAAUCAGUCCAAAACCUUAAUCCUCUAUUCGUACACCACCGCCAUGUCAAGUCGAUCUGAACCCAUAAGCAAAUCUUCUUCCCAAAAUGCCCCCAUACCUGCCCCAAAUUACCCAAUACCCGUUUCCCCUCCUCUGCCCUUCAUCUCAAGGGACAUUGAGUUGAGAAGAGCCUUGACUGCAACUUCGAAAUCAAGCCUCUUCACUUUAUCCCGAUGCAAUGUGUUGUACGAAGACGAGUGGCUCGUUGCUGUCAACAAGCCUCAGGGAAUCUACUGUGAGACUGUGUUGUCUGCCAUUCCUGGCGUUCUCGAUGACUCGGCUGAGUUGGGUCGAGUUAGUGAAGUUUCAGGGAUCCAGAUAAGCAAGCGUGAGCUCCAUCUUGCCAAUCGACUUGAUCGCGACACCAGUGGUGUCAUGCUCAUCACCAAGUCCCACAAAGUAGCUUCUAAACUUGUCAAGGCAUUUUCUGAUCACGAGGUCCGGAAAUCAUAUAUUGCUAUGUGCAUUGGUUCAGCUCCAAAAUGGAGCAGGAUCACCAUCAAAUCAGGUCAUGGUAGAUCAAAGUUUGGAGCAUGGCGUGUAUAUGCCCAAUCUGAUGUAGGUCGGACAUUGCCAGGCGGAUCCAUGGUUAGAGACAUGGAAACUUCAUUUGAAGUACUAUCUGUAAAUGGACAAGGGAGAUUCAAGGAGCCAUCUGAAUUUAAUAAAGAUGAGGAAAAUAUUAUAGUAGUUGAAGAAGAAGCUACAAGAGAUGUUGAUCCGAGGAAGGAUGAGAUUUUGGUUAGAGCUUUUCCUCGGAGUGGAAGAACACAUCAAAUCCGUUUGCAUUGUCAGUAUCUUGGAAUUCCUAUUAGAGGAGAUGUAAAAUAUGAAGGUGUGUAUGAGUGGAAGGGGAAAAUAUUUGAUGGUCAUGAACUUCAUGCGGAGAGCUUGUCGUUUGCUCAUCCUGUUACUGGUCUCCCAAUCGUCAUUCAAGUCCCUCUGCCUGUUUGGGCGAGCCAGGCGUGCUAGCUAAGUGUGGUAGUGAUUAUUUUCCUUUUUCUGGGGUCAAUGUACCUCUUUUGAUGAAAGUAUUGCUAAACAGAAACUAUAUGGGCUGCUAACUCUUCUCUGCACUGGCCUAAACUUCGCCGUCUGCAGCGGCUGAAACAGUUCAGCAUACUUGCAUUAAUGCUUAUUCCAACAGAAUCUCUGUCGCAGAAGGGAAGGUGACUGAGGUUCAAGUAAAAUGGCCUUCUGCUAUUUCAGCCAUCUCUAACCCCAUCUUCAUCUAUCUUCAGCUUUUCGAAGGGAUGCUAAAUUCAACAUGGCCCCAUCAAUUGGUAUUGAGAGAAUAAUAGUAGGAAGAUUUCAUAUCUACAUUUCUGAAGCAAUUCUGAAGAUAGCAGACAGACAGCCUGACCGCAUCCUGGAUGAUCCAUUUGAUGUGAAUAUGAUGUGAAGAAAGAGAGGGAAAAAAGGCACUAGAAAACAGAAACAAAGAUGGAGAAGCCUUCAUUUGGUAAAACAGACUCGGCCGGUGAGCGAUUGUGACUAUGAAAAGGGUAUGGCUUUUGCUGUUUUUAUUGUAUUGUACUAAUAUCACAUGACAUGAAUCAAUUGUUUAAAAUCCUUACAUUAUCUUAUAGUGGGGGUGUUUGGAUUGGCUUAAUUAUUUGUUGUGCUUUUAAGCCUAUGAGGCUUUUAGUUUGAAUACACCUUAUAAGAUCAUAGUGCUUCAAGGUGAAAAAAUGUUUGAACAAUUCACUUGGUUUUUAGGCUCCUUAAGUUAAAACAUUAGUAAGAUGAUCAAAAAAGAAAAAUUUAGUUGCUCGUUUAACUAAAAUGUUAUCUAAAAGUAAUAUUUUUCCUUUUUAACAGAUAAUUGGGCCAAGCAUGUUGGUUGAAAGAGUUAUUAGUUUCUCACCGAAAAUCCUAAAAAUAAAUUGCUCUAGGAUUUAUUUUUUGAUCAAAGUCUGUGUCUUUUCUUCAUAAGGUGUGUCUAAACAGUUUGAAUUUUUUUUUUUUAUCGAAAUUAGCUUAGCAUCUUCAAUAGAGGACAAAACACAAAUCUUCAUAUAUCAUUUUAUGGUGAAUUUUACAUUACCAACGUCAUUGUAACUUGCACCACUUUUUGAUCAGUAAUUUCCUAAAUAAUAAGUUUUAAUGGUAAAAGCAAUGACGAAUAACUUGAACAUUGUUCAAGUUACCAUAGAUUUUCUUCAUAUACACAUUGAACAGAGAGCAAAUCGAGGUAUCUGGCUCUGUUGCUGGACCAGGAUGGGAAAAAGUCAGAAAGGCUUAUGCUUGGGAAUAGGUAAGAAACAAUGAGCCAUAUUUUACAAUGACAAUGCUCCAAAACAAUCCAAUGCGGCCAAAAACUCUCUUCAAGACAGUAUGGUAACUGGAAAAAAAAAACAGGGGACGGGAAAUUGGGGCCACAAGACAACACUACAUUGGACAAGUGUUGUUAACCAAUAUUAUUUAACUCUUGUAUCUGGAUGCUGUACUAUUUGGACAAUGUAAAGACUGGUUUCUGGUAAGUGGAAAGCUAUUAGCUGCUUGUUUUGUUUUC